RNAcentral lists this ribosomal RNA (513 nucleotides) under uncultured Saccharomyces. Its description in RNAcentral is "eukaryotic LSU rRNA". It matches the Rfam family "Eukaryotic large subunit ribosomal RNA", at positions 62 to 578 of the family's 3401-position model. The record is from RNAcentral. Lineage: Eukaryota; Fungi; Ascomycota; Saccharomycetes; Saccharomycetales; Saccharomycetaceae.
AAACCAACCGGGAUUGCUUUAGUAACGGCGAGUGAAGCGGCAAAAGCUCAAAUUUGAAAUCUGGUACCUUCGGUGCCCGAGUUGUAAUUUGGAGAGGGCAACUUUGGGGCCGUUCCUUGUCUAUGUUCCUUGGAACAGGACGUCAUAGAGGGUGAGAAUCCCGUGUGGCGAGGAGUGCGGUUCUUUGUAAAGUGCCUUCGAAGAGUCGAGUUGUUUGGGAAUGCAGCUCUAAGUGGGUGGUAAAUUCCAUCUAAAGCUAAAUAUUGGCGAGAGACCGAUAGCGAACAAGUACAGUGAUGGAAAGAUGAAAAGAACUUUGAAAAGAGAGUGAAAAAGUACGUGAAAUUGUUGAAAGGGAAGGGCAUUUGAUCAGACAUGGUGUUUUGUGCCCUCUGCUCCUUGUGGGUAGGGGAAUCUCGCAUUUCACUGGGCCAGCAUCAGUUUUGGUGGCAGGAUAAAUCCAUAGGAAUGUAGCUUGCCUCGGUAAGUAUUAUAGCCUGUGGGAAUACUGCC